RNAcentral lists this non-coding RNA (169 nucleotides) under Nitrospirota bacterium. The record is from RNAcentral. Lineage: Bacteria; Pseudomonadati; Nitrospirota.
GCCAUCACAUAAGUCCCGGGCUAAGGGAAGAGGGUGCGAAUCCCUCGCGGUCCCGCCGCUGUAACUGGGGACGAAACCCGCUGAAGCCACUGUUCCUGACUGGAAUGGGAAGGCGCGGGGAGUAGGACGAUCCAGAAGCCAGAAGACCUGCCCGGUGACUGACCAUUCC